This 497-nucleotide ribosomal RNA is filed under the name uncultured bacterium. Its description in RNAcentral is "partial 16S ribosomal RNA". It matches the Rfam family "Bacterial small subunit ribosomal RNA", at positions 28 to 507 of the family's 1533-position model. The record is from RNAcentral.
GAUGAACGCUGGCGGCGUGCCUAAUACAUGCAAGUCGAGCGAACAGACGAGGAGCUUGCUCCUCUGACGUUAGCGGCGGACGGGUGAGUAACACGUGGAUAACCUACCUAUAAGACUGGGAUAACUUCGGGAAACCGGAGCUAAUACCGGAUAAUAUAUUGAACCGCAUGGUUCAAUAGUGAAAGACGGUUUUGCUGUCACUUAUAGAUGGAUCCGCGCCGCAUUAGCUAGUUGGUAAGGUAACGGCUUACCAAGGCAACGAUGCGUAGCCGACCUGAGAGGGUGAUCGGCCACACUGGAACUGAGACACGGUCCAGACUCCUACGGGAGGCAGCAGUAGGGAAUCUUCCGCAAUGGGCGCAAGCCUGACGGAGCAACGCCGCGUGAGUGAUGAAGGUCUUCGGAUCGUAAAGCUCUGUUAUUAGGGAAGAACAAAUGUGUAAGUAACUAUGCACGUCUUGACGGUACCUAAUCAGAAAGCCACGGCUAACUACGUG